GGGACACGUGGUAUCCUGUCUGAAUAUGGGGGGACCAUCCUCCAAGGCUAAAUACUCCUGACUGACCGAUAGUGAACCAGUACCGUGAGGGAAAGGCGAAAAGAACCCCGGCGAGGGGAGUGAAAAAGAACCUGAAACCGUGUACGUACAAGCAGUGGGAGCACCUUCGGGUGUGACUGCGUACCUUUUGUAUAAUGGGUCAGCGACUUAUAUUCUGUAGCAAGGUUAACCGUAUAGGGGAGCCGCAGGGAAACCGAGUCUUAACUGGGCGUUAAGUUGCAGGGUAUAGACCCGAAACCCGGUGAUCUAGCCAUGGGCAGGUUGAAGGUUGGGUAACACUAACUGGAGGACCGAACCGACUAAUGUUGAAAAAUUAGCGGAUGACUUGUGGCUGGGGGUGAAAGGCCAAUCAAACCGGGAGAUAGCUGGUUCUCCCCGAAAGCUAUUUAGGUAGCGCCUCGUGAACUCAUCUUCGGGGGUAGAGCACUGUUUCGGCUAGGGGGUCAUCCCGACUUACCAACCCGAUGCAAACUACGAAUACCGAAGAAUGUUAUCACGGGAGACACACGGCGGGUGCUAACGUCCGUCGUGAAGAGGGAAACAACCCAGACCGCCAGCUAAGGUCCCAAAGUCAUGGUUAAGUGGGAAACGAUGUGGGAAGGCACAGACAGCCAGGAUGUUGGCUUAGAAGCAGCC
Molecule: ribosomal RNA, 696 nt
Filed under: Klebsiella pneumoniae
Lineage: Bacteria; Pseudomonadati; Pseudomonadota; Gammaproteobacteria; Enterobacterales; Enterobacteriaceae
Description: partial 23S ribosomal RNA
Rfam family: Bacterial large subunit ribosomal RNA
Source: RNAcentral